This 292-nucleotide ribosomal RNA is filed under the name uncultured eukaryote. RNAcentral describes it as "partial 18S ribosomal RNA". It matches the Rfam family "Eukaryotic small subunit ribosomal RNA", at positions 6 to 302 of the family's 1831-position model. The record is from RNAcentral.
GGUUGAUCCUGCCAGUAGUCAUAUGCUUGUCUCAAAGAUUAAGCCAUGCAUGUCUAAGUAUAAGCUGCUUAUACUGUGAAACUGCGAAUGGCUCAUUAAAUCAGUUAGAGUUUAUUUGAUGGUACCUUACUACUUGGAUAACCGUAGUAAUUCUAGAGCUAUUACAUGCGUAAAUCCCGACUCACGAAGGGACGUAUUUAUUAGAUCCAAGACCGACCGUGCUUGCACGCUCUUGGUGAAUCAUGAUAACUUCACGAAUCGCAUGGCCUUGUGCCGGCGAUGUUUCAUUCAA